UGCGGCCCUCGCGAACAAAAGAGUCCUGGGCCACGCCUGUCUGAGGGUCGGUUAUACGUGUAACACGAUGGUUGCGUUCUC
This 81-nucleotide ribosomal RNA is filed under the name Planococcus citri (citrus mealybug). RNAcentral's name for it is "partial 5.8S ribosomal RNA". The record is from RNAcentral. Lineage: Eukaryota; Metazoa; Arthropoda; Insecta; Hemiptera; Pseudococcidae.